This 483-nucleotide ribosomal RNA is filed under the name uncultured bacterium. Its description in RNAcentral is "partial 16S ribosomal RNA". It matches the Rfam family "Bacterial small subunit ribosomal RNA", at positions 28 to 523 of the family's 1533-position model. The record is from RNAcentral.
GACGAACGCUGGCGGCGUGCUUAACACAUGCAAGUCGAACGAUGAAGCCGGAGCUUGCUCUGGUGAAUUAGUGGCGAACGGGUGAGUAACACGUGAGUAACCUGCCCUUGACUCUGGGAUAACUGCGGGAAACUGUAGCUAAUACCGGAUACGACACCUUGGGGCAUCCCAGGGUGUGGAAAGAAUUUCGGUCAAGGAUGAGCUCGCGGCCUAUCAGCUAGUUGGUGAGGUAAUGGCUCACCAAGGCGACGACGGGUAGCCGGCCUGAGAGGGUGACCGGCCACACUGGAACUGAGACACGGUCCAGACUCCUACGGGAGGCAGCAGUGGGGAAUAUUGCACAAUGGGCGAAAGCCUGAUGCAGCAACGCCGCGUGAGGGAUGAAGGCCUUCGGGUUGUAAACCUCUUUUAGCAGGGAAGAAGCGAAAGUGACGGUACCUGCAGAAAAAGCACCGGCUAACUACGUGCCAGCCGCCGCUGUAA